GAGGAAGCCGCCCGCGUCGGGGGGACUUGGAUUUGUCUCUUACAUCUGACUCCCGCCGCGGCGCUCCGGGGACUCAGCCCUCACUUGACUGGUGUUUGGCAGAAACUGCGGGGACAGGGUGGGCAGAGGAAGGAGCGCUGUAAACUUUGGGGGCGGGGACGUUUUCUUGGAGGUGACAAGUAGCCUCAAAUCUACAGCCUCCGGGGACCGGGGGUCGAAGUCCUCUGCUAGGAUACUCUGCGGGUCUGGACCCUGCCACAUGACCAACACCAGAGACCCCAAAAGAGCCAUGGAGUCCACGCUGGCGACAUCCAGUGCUGCCACAGGCCCUGUCACCUUCUCCCACGUCUUUGGCCAGCAGUGCCAGCUCAUGGAAGCAGGUAGGAAGCUCUGGGGUA
Molecule: long non-coding RNA, 398 nt
Filed under: Marmota monax (woodchuck)
Lineage: Eukaryota; Metazoa; Chordata; Mammalia; Rodentia; Sciuridae
Source: RNAcentral